Molecule: long non-coding RNA, 1097 nt
Filed under: Pavo cristatus (Indian peafowl)
Lineage: Eukaryota; Metazoa; Chordata; Aves; Galliformes; Phasianidae
Description: lncRNA (ENSPSTG00000013558.1)
Source: RNAcentral
UGUUUGUUAUUAUUCCUAAUUUUUUUUUCUUCUUCAGUACAGUCUGCCCAGCAUGAAGUUUUACUGUUCAUCUUAACCAGAAAACUACCAAACAAACCUCAUAGCUUGUCAUUCUUGUCUGCAAUAUUUAAUACAUCUGUGGAAGUAGCACCUCACACCUUGGGCAGUUUCCCUGUGCAGGUGCCCUCGUCCAGCAGGAGGAGCUGCGGGAGCAGCAAAGGCUCAAGCUGCAGCUCUUGGGAUGGACCUGAGCUGGAACAACACCCUUUUCCAGGCCCAGGGUCAGAUUUCUGCACUCCAGGACAAUCUUCUGACAGUCAUCUGACAAUCAUCUGUGCAAUCAUCUGUGCAAUCGUCUAACUCCAUAGAGGAUUACUGAUCUCCAGCUGGAUCCUGACCCUCCAUGAAGUUGGAGCUGAGCAGCACUAGUCUCUGUUUAUGCAUCUGCCACCUCCCAGGUCUCAGAAAGCAAACUGGAGCCAUCAGGCAUCACAGACCGAGAUGGAUGCUGAGAUGCUAACAGCCCAGGGACCACCAGGGCAUGCAGCCAGGUUCCUUUAAAGGAAACUUAUGGUUUUUGCUGGCCUUAUGUUUAGCUGCUUGGAAUCUUGAAUGUAUUAAAGUACAACUUUAGNCUAGAUAAUCUUUGUGGUCCUUUUCAACCCAGGCCAUUGUAUGAUUCUAUGAUUCCAUGAUAUACAAGGUGGAAAAACAGAAACUUAGUUUUGUUUAAAAGAAAAAAAGAGAACAGUACAAUCAUCCUCAUACUUUCAGAAACCCCACAAACAGCUCCAUUCUGCAGCCCCAUCCUACAGGUCAGUGCUGUGAUCAGCAGACCUGACUCAUCAUUCCUUGUGUAUGCAGCUUCAUUUGUCUUCAGGGCUGGUGUCUGGAGUGCACACACGUUCAGCUUCAAGAUAAGAAUUGGCAAGUUCUUACCUUGAUGAUAUCACAUAUCAUUUAAUGUUUAUAACUGUUCUCCCACAAUGCUGAAACUGUUGGCUGGUAGUGUAUAAUGAGAAGCCUUGAGCUCAUUGGUUAUUAAGCAAAAGGUGGCAACGGUGGAUUUUGUUUCUUACGUCAAAAAGGAAGAUAGC